RNAcentral lists this long non-coding RNA (427 nucleotides) under Anser cygnoides (Swan goose). RNAcentral's name for it is "lncRNA (ENSACDG00005001771.1)". Lineage: Eukaryota; Metazoa; Chordata; Aves; Anseriformes; Anatidae. The record is from RNAcentral.
CCCACACAUGGCCAAAGGCCACUGUGUUGAGAGCGGCCUGGAAGAUGCCCUCACGUGGAAUAAGGAGGAGGGUUGGGGGGGCUGAGGGUCCCUUUUCUGGGGCAGGCUCCCCCAGGCCAUUUAUCUUGCCAGAGAGAAAGGCUGCCCCUCGGCCACAGGGACUGCCCUCCACCUCCCAUCUGAAAAAAGAGUUAUGCUGUACAGGUGAAGAUAUCGCUCACAUGAACCUCAAUGAACCUGUCAGCCUGACAUACAGGACCAACUAGCUGGUUGCUAAAAAGAAAAGAAAGGGAGAAGUGAGGAAGGGAAAGGUUUUCUGGCUCAUAUGAUGGUGAUGGAUUCAUUCUCCAUGAACUCUUCCGGCUAUCACAAAAGAAUGACUGGCUUUUACAGCAGAAAUGCUGAAAUAAAUCUAAACAAAGUAUCA